GCCGGGCGCGGUGGCGCACGCCUGUAGUCCCAGCUACUCGGGAGGCUGAGCCCGCCGGAUCGCUUGAGCCCAGGAGUUCUGGGCUGCAGUGCGCUAUGCCGAGCGGGCGUCCGCGCUAAGGCCGGCAUCAAUAUGGUGAGCCCCGGGGAGCCGGGGGACACCAGGUUGACUAAGGAGGGGUGAACCGGCCCAGGUCGGAGAC
RNAcentral lists this signal recognition particle RNA (202 nucleotides) under Nipponia nippon (crested ibis). RNAcentral's name for it is "Metazoan signal recognition particle RNA". It matches the Rfam family "Metazoan signal recognition particle RNA", at positions 1 to 201 of the family's 299-position model. From Rfam's summary of the family: The signal recognition particle (SRP) is a universally conserved ribonucleoprotein. It is involved in the co-translational targeting of proteins to membranes. The eukaryotic SRP consists of a 300-nucleotide 7S RNA and six proteins: SRPs 72, 68, 54, 19, 14, and 9. The record is from Rfam by way of RNAcentral. Lineage: Eukaryota; Metazoa; Chordata; Aves; Pelecaniformes; Threskiornithidae.